CAUUAUUCUGAAAUGAAAAGGACCAGUCAGACUGAGAAUCAGAACAAGUAUUUAUGUAUACAAUAUAUCUAGACUAUCACUACACAUCAUUCCAUCCUUUUUGAAUAAUUAAACCAAGAUAUAAGAGAACAAAACUCAUUCCAGGUAUAAAUAAUAUUUUUAUUAUCAAACAUUCACUUAUAAUGUUACUGUCAAUGAUAACUGAGAGCUUCGUGCUAAUUUCCCUGCAACUGAUCUGGUACAGUUCAACUGUAUGCAAAUUUCGGUAUCUGUACAGCUAAGGAUAUAUGUACAUGUAUCAUUGAUGCUAACUUGUAAUAAAUUGCAUAAAGUCUGAAAGGGAGAAUGGGAGAAAGGCAAGGUUCUUCAUGUUCAUUGUGUGUCUCAUUCACUGCAAAUAUCUCAAUUACAAAUGUAUUGUGUAAUCAGUUGCUCUGUGCCUUCCAGUGGUGCAAGAAAAAAAUCAGAAUGGCAAUCAAAUGCAAGCGUACAUAUUUUUUCAUUCUCAAAUGGCUGUUCUUUUGCUGCAUAAGUGUGGUCUGAAUGUUCAUCUAACAAGAGUUCUCCUUUGACUUCUUCUGAUGUAAUAGAAAUUUCCUCAGAACGUACAAACUCGACCAGAGAUGUGUCAUAAUUGGAUGAUCACUUUCAUCUUCAGUGUGGAUUGAAACUGCAACAGAUAUCUCCUCCAUAAUGGUAUCAACAGCUGUCCAUGGUCGAGGAUUACCUUUCUUUUUAACUCCUUUUGUUAACUUACUACAUCUUUUCCUCUUUUGGCAUUCUAAAUUAAAAAAAAAAAUAUUUUAGAGUUGAAAAGAAAUUUGAAUUUGUAGAGCCUAUUAUACAACAUCUAUUUGUCUUACUUUUAAA
RNAcentral lists this long non-coding RNA (870 nucleotides) under Mytilus galloprovincialis (Mediterranean mussel). Lineage: Eukaryota; Metazoa; Mollusca; Bivalvia; Mytilida; Mytilidae. The record is from RNAcentral.